RNAcentral lists this ribosomal RNA (817 nucleotides) under Candida tropicalis. Its description in RNAcentral is "LSU rRNA". It matches the Rfam family "Eukaryotic large subunit ribosomal RNA", at positions 82 to 918 of the family's 3401-position model. The record is from RNAcentral. Lineage: Eukaryota; Fungi; Ascomycota; Pichiomycetes; Serinales; Debaryomycetaceae.
AGUAGCGGCGAGUGAAGCGGCAAAAGCUCAAAUUUGAAAUCUGGCUCUUUCAGAGUCCGAGUUGUAAUUUGAAGAAGGUAUCUUUGGGUCUGGCUCUUGUCUAUGUUUCUUGGAACAGAACGUCACAGAGGGUGAGAAUCCCGUGCGAUGAGAUGAUCCAGGCCUAUGUAAAGUUCCUUCGAAGAGUCGAGUUGUUUGGGAAUGCAGCUCUAAGUGGGUGGUAAAUUCCAUCUAAAGCUAAAUAUUGGCGAGAGACCGAUAGCGAACAAGUACAGUGAUGGAAAGAUGAAAAGAACUUUGAAAAGAGAGUGAAAAAGUACGUGAAAUUGUUGAAAGGGAAGGGCUUGAGAUCAGACUUGGUAUUUUGUAUGUUACUUCUUCGGGGGUGGCCUCUACAGUUUAUCGGGCCAGCAUCAGUUUGGGCGGUAGGAGAAUUGCGUUGGAAUGUGGCACGGCUUCGGUUGUGUGUUAUAGCCUUCGUCGAUACUGCCAGCCUAGACUGAGGACUGCGGUUUAUACCUAGGAUGUUGGCAUAAUGAUCUUAAGUCGCCCGUCUUGAAACACGGACCAAGGAGUCUAACGUCUAUGCGAGUGUUUGGGUGUAAAACCCGUACGCGUAAUGAAAGUGAACGUAGGUGGGGGCCCGUAUGGGUGCACCAUCGACCGAUCCUGAUGUCUUCGGAUGGAUUUGAGUAAGAGCAUAGCUGUUGGGACCCGAAAGAUGGUGAACUAUGCCUGAAUAGGGUGAAGCCAGAGGAAACUCUGGUGGAGGCUCGUAGCGGUUCUGACGUGCAAAUCGAUCGUCGAAUUUGGGUAU